This 253-nucleotide ribosomal RNA is filed under the name uncultured bacterium. RNAcentral describes it as "partial 16S ribosomal RNA". It matches the Rfam family "Bacterial small subunit ribosomal RNA", at positions 524 to 776 of the family's 1533-position model. The record is from RNAcentral.
UACGAACUGUGCAAACGUUAUUCGGAAUCACUGGGCUUAAAGGGUGCGUAGGCGGCUUGCUAAGUAGGGUGUGAAAUCCCCCGGCUCAACCGGGGAACUGCGCCCUAAACUGGCGAGCUGGAGUGAGAUAGGGGUGUGUGGAACUUCCAGUGGAGCGGUGAAAUGUGUUGAUAUUGGAAGGAACACCGGUGGCGAAAGCGACACACUGGGUCUCAACUGACGCUGAGGCACGAAAGCCAGGGGAGCAAACGGG